Molecule: small nuclear RNA, 164 nt
Filed under: Haemaphysalis longicornis (longhorned tick)
Lineage: Eukaryota; Metazoa; Arthropoda; Arachnida; Ixodida; Ixodidae
Description: U1 spliceosomal RNA
Rfam family: U1 spliceosomal RNA
About the family: U1 is a small nuclear RNA (snRNA) component of the spliceosome (involved in pre-mRNA splicing). Its 5' end forms complementary base pairs with the 5' splice junction, thus defining the 5' donor site of an intron. There are significant differences in sequence and secondary structure between metazoan and yeast U1 snRNAs, the latter being much longer (568 nucleotides as compared to 164 nucleotides in human).
Source: Rfam by way of RNAcentral
AUAGGUACCUGGUGCCGGACAUUCCAACGAUCACGAAGGUUGGAGUCUCGAGUCGAGGCCUUCCAUUGCACUUCGGGAAGGCUUGUACUCGCCUCUGUAACGAAUCGUUACAGCUGGGGUGCACAAUUUUUGGUAGUGGGGGAGGGCGUUCGCGCCUUCACCCU